GUCCAAAACUGAAGUUGGGGAAGGUUAAAUUCCAAUGCAAAUGGCCGAGCCGAGGGUUUUGCAAAAAUUUCCCCGAAUUGCGCAAAAUCGGUUCCACCCGGCCUCCUGAAAUUGAGUGCAAACGUCGCACGCACGCUCCUAAAGGGCAUUUUUGCGAGGAGGGGGUCCACAGCUCUCAUCCGAUUUUCAAAGAGCUCCAAGGAGCCCACCACCACCGCGGAAAAGGGUGAAAAGGUUACGAAUCGUCACAAAGAGGAGAAAAUGAAGCCUGAAGACAUUGAGGAUUGUCCAAGGUCGCUCAAGGACUUGGAGCUGGGAUGCAAAGCCAGGAGCAGAAGCCUCAGACGAUAGCCAGGCCACUUGGCGGAGGAAACGCCGGGCACCGGGACCAUGUCUCUGGUCUGAGGUCGGAAGUGAAUGC
Molecule: long non-coding RNA, 421 nt
Organism: Pteronotus mesoamericanus
Lineage: Eukaryota; Metazoa; Chordata; Mammalia; Chiroptera; Mormoopidae
Exons: 3
Source: RefSeq, a predicted model, not a curated record